Amborella trichopoda is the source of this 552-nucleotide long non-coding RNA. RefSeq lists it as uncharacterized. The record is from RefSeq and is a predicted model, not a curated record. NCBI's taxonomy places the organism in Eukaryota, Viridiplantae, Streptophyta, Magnoliopsida, Amborellales, Amborellaceae.
UUGGCUAAGAUCAAGUGUAGUAUCUGUUCUUAUCAGUUUAAUAUCUGAUACGUGGUCCAUAGGACCACACGAUAUUAAAUUAAUUUUUCAGUGGGGGAGGGGCCACCGCACUAGCUUGCUAGUCGGUCCUUCGGGCGUCGCCCAUGCGUUGCACUACUGCACGGGCAUGGCGCACCCCUAUCAAAUCAAACUCUAAACUUGGGAGACUUUUCCGUGGAGUCUCAUUGACGAACGUGGUGUCUGUUGUGACAUGUUGAUCGUAGGAGUCUCAUUGACGAACGUGGUGUCUGUUGUGAUGGGUUGCCUUGCCGGAGUCUCGUUGAUGAACAUGGUGUCUGUUGUGAUGGGUUGGCUUGCCUUAUGACACUUCUAAGGCAGAGCAGUGUCCUAUUUGGGAAGGACCCUUGAUCCUAUGAUUAUGGUAUGGUCUUGUGGGAUAGAAUUAUUGUAUGUUCUAGGAUCCUAAGUUUUGAGAUGUGACUUAUUAAAUUUAGCAAAUCGUCAUCAAUGUUUUUUUUUAAUUAAUUGAAGUAUGAUAGACGAAUUCUGAUC